This 2819-nucleotide long non-coding RNA is filed under the name Anas platyrhynchos platyrhynchos (common mallard). RNAcentral's name for it is "lncRNA (ENSAPLG00000016654.1)". The record is from RNAcentral. Lineage: Eukaryota; Metazoa; Chordata; Aves; Anseriformes; Anatidae.
AUGCCAGAUGAUUAUCGGAGGCCUUCCCACCGAACCCACAGCUUCAGGGGGACGCAGGGAGGCUGGCAAGAUAGGGAAAUCCUGUGGCCAAAAGCUUUUGGAGCGAGCAGUUUCUCCUCCCACUUGCAGAGACCACACUUAGAUUUUUGUGGUGUCAUAAAUAUGCUCUUUAGUGUGCGCACUAAUAGGUCUCUGGAACACAUCUGGGUUUGGUGGCUCCGGACCCCGAGGCGUGUGCAUGAAGGCGAGGCUGUCACCCUAGCUCCACGCAUCGCUCAGCCAGCCAGGAAUACUCCGUGGAAAGCAAGGGAAGAGAAACAGCUCCAGAAGUUCAGAAGUUUGCUCCUCCUGAAAUUUCAUUGGCCUGCAGGUUACCCACAGUCUCAACUCCCCUGCUGACAAUUUGGAGAAUAAUAUUAAAUGGUAACUAUAAUAUAUACUAAUAGAUUAAUCUUUAUAAGUCAUGCCAAGUUCUGUGGGGCCGGGGCUUGGCAGGAGUGGUCUGCCUCAGAUGUGGAGUAUCUAAUGACGUCUUUACUGUUGCAGGAUUUGCACGUGGCAGCCGGAGAUGUCGUUUGCACUCUGACACAGGCUAAGUCACUUACGACUAUUGAUCCCAUCAGAGGCUCGCACCGGGACAGCCUGGGCCCUGGCCAAACCUUGUUUAAAUCAAAAGCCGAACUUGCCUUGCUGUCUCUGGGCUGCUCGCCCCGGGAGGAGGCAGGAGGCAGGCAGAGCUCCAGCCUGCUCAGCUGGAAAGUAAAGCUCCGGGGCUGAUCUACUGGAAUCGUGAAGGAUCCUUUCACUGACUUCAGUGAGCCAUAUACCUUGGCAAACCUGGUGCUUGGUGGGGUUAUUUGCACGUGGUGAUCCCAUACUGACCCUCGUUCCUCUCUUCUGGGCUAUCCUAAAGUCACCCAUUUUAUUAUUUUUGUUGUUGUUGUUGUAGAGGUUGGAGUCCAAGGCCUCUGCUCAGCUCUCAGAUCCACAGGGGGGCGUGUUACAGUGACCCCCCUGCAAUUAUUGCAGACCCCGUGCAAUCGAUGGCCGUUACAUGCCUACACUGCUUCAAGGACCUAGGACCGAUGGAGUCAGGGACUUUUGAGGAUCUACAUCUUCCUUACAAGCUGUGAUUCAUCCAGUUGCACUUACUCACCACUAACAUUAGCUCUGGUGUGAUCCCAUGGGAAGCUCUCCAUCAUGCUGGGACUGACAUACCAUCAAGCACGUGCCUCGUCUUCCCCUGCUGAAUUCCUCGUGAGUUGGUAGAGCUGCAUGCCUACAGAUAGCCUUGUGGCUCACUCCGCUUUGGAGAUCUUAGACAAAAUCACCCUCUCCAGGAGAAGGAAAGUGCUGGUUUCGUAACUUGCAGUGGAAAACACAGACGGACCUUCACACUCUAAAGAAGAGCAGAAAAAGUGUAAAUUUUGGUAGGACAUUUACUGAGAAAAUGGCAGAAACCUGAGAAAUACACAUAGGGAUAUUUUAUUGUUGAAGAUCUAUUUUGUUAAGAUACUUCUCAUAAAAUAUAUUGGUUUUCCUGGUUAAGCAGUAGCUGUGCCUAGUUUACAAGCAAUUAGAGCCACCCUAACUUACCCUCCUAAGGUCAAACCUUCUCCCCAAAUUUCUGACCUUGCUGUGAUUCCUGCAAGGAAAGAUUGGUACUGCUUGUGUUCUCUACACCAGAUAUAAAGAGAAAGAGGUCCACUGGAGCAAGAGAAAACACUUUUCUUAGUGCUCAGCUAAUUAGGGUUUCCCAAAGCACCGUCAGAGUUGCUAUUGCAGCACACCAUGCACGGGGAAGCCUCCUGGCUCAUUUUUGCCCAGAGCCAGUGCCUCUCCAGUGGAAGAUUAUUGAUUUCUGAACUGACACAGUGACACAGUGCCUCGGGAAACUCUUCCUUUUUCCGUCCUCUUCUCUCUCCCUUUUUCUAUUUGCUUUAUUUUGUUUUGUGCUAUGUGAGCCUUUAGUCAAAUAUCCCACAUACACACUCAUCACUUGGACGGCUUUAAGCACAAUCCAUGGGCAAGUCUGGGCACUGCAUUAAUAUCUCUUGUUGUUGUCUCUCUGUAGAUUAUCCUCUGUUACUGUAAUUCGUAAAUUCAGCCCUUUGUGUACAUGCCUCCUUUGUGAAAAUGCAAUAUCAUUACUAAUUAAACAGGGUUUUAAUAAGUUGGCUGAUAGCUCCCCACAGCAUCUAGGAAUUAACCUCACCUGGGAGCAAGCUGCUGGUUGAGGCUAAAGAGAAGCUUAGAUAAAGGCGGGGAAAGGAAAAGACAUCAAAGUGCUAGUCACCACCAAAACCUCAUCCUCCACAAAUUCUAGGUGUGGAAAUGUUUCUCAGCCAUAGGGAUCCUCCCUCCAUGGAUUUCCAAAUAACUAUAAUCAUCAGAAUUCCCUCUUUCACCUCCCCCUGGCCUGAUUAUCUCAUCCUUCUCAUUUGAACUUGCUUGCUAUGAGCAAUACAUUUAUGGCUUCAAUGCUUUAUUACCUCGAUCCCCCAAGUGCUUAAUUAGGUUCAGAUGGUGAUAAUUUAGCAAUGCAGAUCUUAGGGACAGCAGUGUCCUUGUGGUCUGCUUUCACCGUCGAACAAGGUUCUGUCCCUCAUCUCCAUGCUUGUUUCAUGUAUCCAGCUUCCUCAGAGGCUGUGGGUCAAUACUGGUAUAAGCAGAGGACAGAGUUUUCUUGGUAGCUGACCGGUGCUUAGGAUUCAUGUUGGCUUUGGAAAUUUAAUGUUCUGCAGUCUCCAGCUAUUUUUCUCACAAUUAAAUACACUUCUUAACAAAAAGCACAGAAUAAACAAAAAAAUCAUAACCCA